This 254-nucleotide ribosomal RNA is filed under the name uncultured bacterium. Its description in RNAcentral is "partial 16S ribosomal RNA". It matches the Rfam family "Bacterial small subunit ribosomal RNA", at positions 524 to 776 of the family's 1533-position model. The record is from RNAcentral.
UACAGAGGGUGCGAGCGUUGUCCGGAAUCACUGGGCGUAAAGGGCGCGUAGGUGGUGGCUUAAGCGUGCGGUGAAAGCUCGGAGCUCAACUCCGAGUCGGCCGUGCGAACUAGGCUCACUGGAGCAUAGUAGAGGCAGGUGGAAUUCCGGGUGUAGCGGUGGGAUGCGUAGAGAUCCGGAAGAACACCGGUGGCGAAGGCGGCCUGCUGGGCUAUGGCUGACACUGAGGCGCGACAGCGUGGGGAGCAAACAGG